AUCCUUUCUGAGUGACUCAUUUGAACUGGGACAAUUAAUCUUAAUCAGGACGGCAUGACAGCAGAAGACAUCCACAGUGAGGCCACUGCUUCAUCAGAGGAGCUGAAGCUGGCAGCACAUAGAGCAACUCCAGUAGGUUUCCAGAUGGAAAACUAUAAUACUUUCUGGGGAAGAUGAAUAAAGGACCAACUAUAGCCCUGGGCCACAUGUACGGGGGUGCCCUGGAGCUGAGCCAACCUGAGCUGCUCCCGUCACUGGAACAACAGCCUCAGAGGUUCUGUGCCAACAGAAAUGAUGCAAAAGAACUGAGAGCCAGGUGUGUCCAGAAUGAGUCACCAAACAGGAAGAGCAGAUAAGACAGAAGCACGUUGAACAGUGGAAAGGUAGGUGCAGACAUGAAGGAUCUGAUGUCAUGCCCUGGAUCCAGUUAGUGGCAUGCGAUUAGCACCCAAUUGACUUGUUUCCCUGAAUCAAGUGCGUGUUUUUUAAGUUGGAGAUCCACACCUGAUCCAUUCCUGCUUUAGUAAGAAAUUAG
This 535-nucleotide long non-coding RNA is filed under the name Chinchilla lanigera (long-tailed chinchilla). RNAcentral's name for it is "lncRNA (ENSCLAG00000025905.1)". The record is from RNAcentral. Lineage: Eukaryota; Metazoa; Chordata; Mammalia; Rodentia; Chinchillidae.